RNAcentral lists this ribosomal RNA (828 nucleotides) under uncultured beta proteobacterium. RNAcentral's name for it is "bacterial SSU rRNA". It matches the Rfam family "Bacterial small subunit ribosomal RNA", at positions 67 to 889 of the family's 1533-position model. The record is from RNAcentral. Lineage: Bacteria; Pseudomonadati; Pseudomonadota; Betaproteobacteria.
CGGCAGCACGGGGGCAACCCUGGUGGCGAGUGGCGAACGGGUGAGUAAUAUAUCGGAACAUGUCCGGAAGUGGGGGAUAACGUACCGAAAGGUACGCUAAUACCGCAUAUGCCCUGAGGGGGAAAGGAGGGGAUCGCAAGACCUUUCGCUUUCGGAGUGGCCGAUAUCGGAUUAGCUAGUUGGUGAGGUAAAGGCUCACCAAGGCGACGAUCCGUAGCUGGUCUGAGAGGACGACCAGCCACACUGGAACUGAGACACGGUCCAGACUCCUACGGGAGGCAGCAGUGGGGAAUUUUGGACAAUGGGGGCAACCCUGAUCCAGCCAUGCCGCGUGAGUGAAGAAGGCCUUCGGGUUGUAAAGCUCUUUCAGACGGAAAGAAACGGUUACGGCUAAUACCCGUGACUAAUGACGGUACCGUCAGAAGAAGCACCGGCUAACUACGUGCCAGCAGCCGCGGUAAUACGUAGGGUGCGAGCGUUAAUCGGAAUUACUGGGCGUAAAGCGUGCGCAGGCGGUUUUGUAAGACAGACGUGAAAUCCCCGGGCUUAACCUGGGAACUGCGUUUGUGACUGCAAGACUAGAGUACGGCAGAGGGGGGUAGAAUUCCACGUGUAGCAGUGAAAUGCGUAGAUAUGUGGAGGAAUACCGAUGGCGAAGGCAGCCCCCUGGGUCGAUACUGACGCUCAUGCACGAAAGCGUGGGGAGCAAACAGGAUUAGAUACCCUGGUAGUCCACGCCCUAAACGAUGUCAACUAGGUGUUGGGGAAGGAGACUUCUUUAGUACCGCAGCUAACGCGAUAAGUUGACCGCCUGGGGAGUACGGUCGC